This 67-nucleotide transfer RNA is filed under the name Marmota monax (woodchuck). Its description in RNAcentral is "tRNA.Ser". It matches the Rfam family "tRNA", at positions 6 to 65 of the family's 71-position model. From Rfam's summary of the family: Transfer RNA (tRNA) molecules are approximately 80 nucleotides in length. The record is from RNAcentral. Lineage: Eukaryota; Metazoa; Chordata; Mammalia; Rodentia; Sciuridae.
GGUUGUGGCUCAGUGGUAGAGUGCUUGCCUAGAAUGUGUGAGGCCCUGGGUUCAAUUCUCAGUACCG